CCAACAUUCUCUCACAGCUUUUAGACAAAUACCCCCCCACAUGCAAUUUCAUUACUAGCCAUGCCAAUUUAUUACACCCCAUGCCAUUUCCUCAUCCCUCUGUGCCAUUUCCUCACCCCCAUGCCAUUUCAUCACUCCCUUGUGCCAUUUUAUCAGUUCUUGUGCCAUCUACCUUACCCUUGUGCCACCCGCACAAGGCUAAAAACCAACUGCUCCCGCAGGACCCAUGUAAUCCCAAUCCCAUUGCUGUGGUCACUUUUGAAAGAUUAUUUUGACCAUGCAGAGCCACUGACUGAUUUUAAGGGAAAGCCAAUCACCAGUGACCACAAUGUUACUUCCUCAUCACAGGGAGCAGAAUUCUACUGAAUUCUAAUAAGAAUCUGACAUUCGACUCUAUAUAUCAGACAUGCAACAGGAAACACUGCUCCUAGAUGGUCCAAACUUUGAUGCCAGCCAGAAGCUCCCAUUGUCACUGAAAUUAGGUUUUAUAUACCAUUUCCAUCUACAGAUGACAACACGUCUAUGGCUCUUUUGCGGCAGACACCUGAAUUGCUCAGUAAAGAUGCGGAUGUUGAGUGACACCUUUAAAUCUGCUAUGGAGUAUUGUCAACCACGUGGAAAGUCUGCAAUAAAAUUCAA
Molecule: long non-coding RNA, 639 nt
Organism: Hyla sarda
Lineage: Eukaryota; Metazoa; Chordata; Amphibia; Anura; Hylidae
Exons: 3
Source: RefSeq, a predicted model, not a curated record